Long non-coding RNA from Suricata suricatta (meerkat), 1072 nucleotides. RefSeq lists it as uncharacterized. Lineage: Eukaryota; Metazoa; Chordata; Mammalia; Carnivora; Herpestidae. The transcript has 2 exons. The record is from RefSeq and is a predicted model, not a curated record.
GGUCCUCUCAGUUCACGUUGGACUUUCUGUAUCCAGAACCACCAAAGCAUUACAGCUCAGAGAGCUAAUUAAAAACAAUAGAAAAAACAUUUUUUUAGACUGGAAUGUUUUCAGGGACAAAAGUUUCAUGUCACACCGAAUAAAACAUUCGGGUAAAAAUUAAGGAUCCUCAUUACACACAGUGUGCAUUUUUCUCGUAGGUACUUAAAGCUUAUUUGAGUCAGGUCAUAAAGUGUGUAUUUUCUUAACAAUCUCCAUCUCAUGUCACCUUGAACAAUAUAAGAUGUUUCUGCCUCUGAGUAACAAAAAGCUUAAUGUUGAAAUUUUUCAGGUGCCAUUUUGUGACGGCCCCUCAGAACGCUGUGACGCAUAAAAUGCAGUCACAGAGAAAAACAGUACACAGAACUACAUAAUGAUUGGUAAGUGAUUAGCACAGCUCUGAAAAAACGCACGUUGUCCUCUCUGGGACAGGGGCUGACUUAGGACACAGGGUGGAGCAGGUGGGAAGGGCGGAACCGCCACUCCUGCACGGACAUCCCAGCAUCCUCCAAGGCCACUGGAUCUGAUGACACUCACUGACUGUCCCUGAUCGACCAAAACGUACAUGCCUAGCACGUUCUAGUCUUCCCAGGAGCUCACUCUGAACCCUAGAACGAUCUUCAAAUCUUAUUGAUUGAUUCUCGCUUCUCCAAUAAAUAUGGGAAUGCGGAGUUGGUUGGGUGACAGUCUCUCUGAGCUGGCAUCCCUGCUCCCUCUCUCUUCCAGCUGACUUGUGGUAUCUCAUUCUUCUCCCGUGCGCCAUUACAGAAGGCGGCAAGCGGCGCCUGUACAUGGACCUGAUUGAGACCCAGAGAAGCAAGCAGCCCCUGCGUGGUUUUCUGCACGGCCGCAUCCUUCUCGCUCGGGUUUUCAACCAGAAGAGAAAAAGAAUCUUUAUUUUGGCACGGCAGCACCUCCCACUCCAAAAUGCAAAAUGGCGGGGCAAGAUGGCAGAGAAGUGGGGAACACUUCCCUCUUCAGGCCUGCACCAUUAAACUGAGAAGAAUUAAAUAAAAGCCACAACUUUCUGAUC